This 253-nucleotide ribosomal RNA is filed under the name uncultured bacterium. Its description in RNAcentral is "partial 16S ribosomal RNA". It matches the Rfam family "Bacterial small subunit ribosomal RNA", at positions 524 to 776 of the family's 1533-position model. The record is from RNAcentral.
UACAGAGGUCUCAAGCGUUGUUCGGAUUCAUUGGGCGUAAAGGGCGCGUAGGCUGCGGGGCAAGUCGGGUGUGAAAUCUCGGGGCUUAACUCCGAAACUGCAUUCGAUACUGCCGUGCUUGAGGACUGGAGAGGAGACUGGAAUUUACGGUGUAGCGGUGAAAUGCGUAGAUAUCGUAAGGAAGACCAGUGGCGAAGGCGGGUCUCUGGACAGUUCCUGACGCUGAGGCACGAAGGCCAGGGGAGCAAACGGG